CUACAUACACCCAAUAACGAUUACUUUUCUCUACCUUCUCUAAUAAACACACAAUUAUUACAUUACUAUCUAGAAAUUACUACAUACUAUGACAUAUUCACUUCUAUCAUAAUUGGAUAUUACAGGGGAUAACUUAUUACUUAGAAAGAAAAUUUGAAGGAUAUGGGAAUUUAGAAACUACAGGCGAGCCAUGGUACUUAUUGAUGAAAAGGGAACUUUGAAAUGUGGAAGAAUCAAGUGAAUUGGUUUCGACAAAAUAUGAGUGAAGGCUUUGUGAUCACUAUCAGAAAUUGCAGAUGUUACUGGAUAGUGUAGACCAUUACAGUCUGAUUUUAAAAAAUAAUAUUCUUACGGAUAACGGUCAUCCAAAAGCUGCAGGAUGAUUCCAUUCACAUUCCGAAAAAUGGCUUCCAGUUUAUUAAGCCAAACAUUAUUCGCAUGAGGGUCAAUAACAUUAUCAUCUUAUUAGGUA
This is a long non-coding RNA of Solanum pennellii, 472 nucleotides long. RefSeq lists it as uncharacterized. The transcript is spliced from 2 exons. The record is from RefSeq and is a predicted model, not a curated record. Lineage: Eukaryota; Viridiplantae; Streptophyta; Magnoliopsida; Solanales; Solanaceae.